Astyanax mexicanus (Mexican tetra) is the source of this 269-nucleotide long non-coding RNA. RefSeq lists it as uncharacterized. The record is from RefSeq and is a predicted model, not a curated record. Lineage: Eukaryota; Metazoa; Chordata; Actinopteri; Characiformes; Acestrorhamphidae. The transcript is spliced from 2 exons.
CCUGUUCCUCACUUGGGCACUCUUCUCGUGAGAGAAAGCUAAAUCAGCAACGUCUGGGUGAACAACGGUGGGGGCUUUUGGCACACCUGUUCCUCACUUGGGCACUCUUCUCGUGAGAGAAAGCUAAGUCAGCAACGUCUGGGUGAACAACGGUGGGGGCUUUUGGCACAAGUCAGACAAAACCAAGGUCGCCUCUACCAGCACCUCGCGCCUUGGUACAGACUGUACAGGCCUCAGAGAAAGGGUCAGACACCUGUUUUAACAGAACU